Molecule: ribosomal RNA, 433 nt
Filed under: uncultured bacterium
Lineage: Bacteria
Description: partial 16S ribosomal RNA
Rfam family: Bacterial small subunit ribosomal RNA
Source: RNAcentral
AACGAACGCCGGCGGCAUGCCUAACACAUGCGAGUCGAACGAGACCUUCGGGUCUAGUGGCGCACGGGUGCGUAACGCGUGGGAACCUGCCCUUAGGUUCGGAAUAACUCCCCGAAAGGGGUGCUAAUACCGGAUAAUGUCUUCGGACCAAAGAUUUAUCGCCUUUGGAUGGGCCCGCGUUGGAUUAGCUAGUUGGUAGGGUAAAAGCCUACCAAGGCGACGAUCCAUAGCUGGUCUGAGAGGAUGAUCAGCCACACUGGGACUGAGACACGGCCCAGACUCCUACGGGAGGCAGCAGUGGGGAAUAUUGGACAAUGGGCGAAAGCCUGAUCCAGCAAUGCCGCGUGAGUGAUGAAGGCCUUAGGGUUGUAAAGCUCUUUUACCCGGGAUGAUAAUGACAGUACCGGGAGAAUAAGCGCCGGCUAACUCCGUG